AAAUUGAAGAGUUUGAUCAUGGCUCAGAUUGAACGCUGGCGGCAGGCCUAACACAUGCAAGUCGAACGGUAACAGGAAUCAGCUUGCUGAUUCGCUGACGAGUGGCGGACGGGUGAGUAAUGUCUGGGAAACUGCCUGAUGGAGGGGGAUAACUACUGGAAACGGUAGCUAAUACCGCAUAACGUCGCAAGACCAAAGAGGGGGACCU
RNAcentral lists this ribosomal RNA (208 nucleotides) under Escherichia coli. Its description in RNAcentral is "partial 16S ribosomal RNA". It matches the Rfam family "Bacterial small subunit ribosomal RNA", at positions 1 to 215 of the family's 1533-position model. The record is from RNAcentral. Lineage: Bacteria; Pseudomonadati; Pseudomonadota; Gammaproteobacteria; Enterobacterales; Enterobacteriaceae.